GAUGAACGCUGGCGGCGUGCUUAACACAUGCAAGUCGAACGAGAAGUGAAGACGGAAACCUUCGGGCGGAAGGCUUUAUUUCGAGUGGCGGACGGGUGAGUAACGCGUGGGUAACCUGCCUCAUACAGGGGGAUAACAGUUGGAAACGACUGUUAAUACCGCAUAAGGUCACAGCACCGCAUGGUGCGGGGGUAAAACCUCCGGUGGUAUGAGAUGGACCCGCGUUCGAUUAGCCAGUUGGCGGGGUAACGGCCCACCAAAGCGACGAUCGAUAGCCGAUCUGAGAGGAUGGCCGGCCACAUUGGGACUGAGACACGGCCCAAACUCCUACGGGAGGCAGCAGUGGGGAAUAUUGCACAAUGGGGUAAACCCUGAUGCAGCGACGCCGCGUGAGUGAAGAAGUAUUUCGGUAUGUAAAGCUCUAUCAGCAGGGAAGAAAAUGACGGUACCUGAGUAAGAAGCCCCGGCUAACUACGUG
RNAcentral lists this ribosomal RNA (478 nucleotides) under uncultured bacterium. Its description in RNAcentral is "partial 16S ribosomal RNA". It matches the Rfam family "Bacterial small subunit ribosomal RNA", at positions 28 to 507 of the family's 1533-position model. The record is from RNAcentral.